GGGCCGCCUGCGGAAGCGAGGCGUUCCCCGAGGAUGAGAGUGCCCAGUGGGCCACUUUUGGUAAGCAGAACUGGCGCUGCGGGAUGAACCGAACGCCGGGUUACGGCGCCCGAUGCGAGACGCUCAUGAGACCCCAUGAAAGGUGUUGGUUGCUCUAGACAGCAGGACGGUGGCCAUGGAAGUCGGAACCCGCCAAGGAGUGUGUAACAACUCACCUGCCGAAGCAACUAGCCCUGAAAAUGGAUGGCGCUCCAGCGUCGAGCCCAUACCCGGCCGCGGUCGCAGACAACUCUGUGGUUUAAGCGACCGCGAGUAGGAGGGUCGCGGCGGAGUGCGUCGAAGGUGCCGGGCGCGAGCCCGCCUGGAGCCUCCGCCGGUGCAGAUCUUGGUGGUAGUAGCAAAUACUCGAGUGAGAACCUCGAGGACCGAGGUGGAGAAGGGUUCCAUGUGAACAGCAGUUGAACAUGGGUCAGUCGGCCCUAAGGGAUCGGAGAAAUCCGUUCCGAAGGCGGGGGUCUUUUUUUAAGCAAGCCCCCGAGCGACCGAAAGGGAAUCGGGUCAAUAUUCCCGAACCCGGACGCGGAGAUCGAAGCUUCGGCUUCUAUCGCGGCGACGCAACCGAACUCGGAGACGUCGACGGGAGUCCCGGGAAGAGUUUUCUUUUCUUUGUAAGGGCUCGGGUCCCUGGAAUCGGCUCGUCCGGAGAUAGGGAUGCUGACGCCCGUAAAGCGCCGCGGCUCUUGCGGCGUCCGGAGCGCUCCCGUCGGCCCUUGAAAAUCCGAGGGAGGAGGUGUGAUUUUCGCGCCGGGCCGUACCCAUAUCCGCAGCAGGU
RNAcentral lists this ribosomal RNA (832 nucleotides) under Speocera transleuser. RNAcentral's name for it is "partial large subunit ribosomal RNA". It matches the Rfam family "Eukaryotic large subunit ribosomal RNA", at positions 1079 to 1864 of the family's 3401-position model. Lineage: Eukaryota; Metazoa; Arthropoda; Arachnida; Araneae; Ochyroceratidae. The record is from RNAcentral.